Long non-coding RNA from Mauremys reevesii (Reeves's turtle), 1199 nucleotides. RefSeq lists it as uncharacterized. NCBI's taxonomy places the organism in Eukaryota, Metazoa, Chordata, Testudines, Geoemydidae. The record is from RefSeq and is a predicted model, not a curated record. The transcript has 3 exons.
GCACAUGGAUUUUGAGUUGCCCAGGUUGAUGAAUUUGGCUCUGUUUUCACAGGGCUGUUGAUACUGCAGUGACAUGGCUACUGGAGGAGGAUGAAAUUGAGUAGUUACUUCUGCACAGCAUGCAGCUGAAGGACCUUUACCCACAAGACCACCACUUCUGUGUUUGGCCAACUACCAAAGACUGGUGGGAAAGGGUAGUGAUGCACAACUGGAUGAACAGCAGUGGCGGCAAAACUUCAGGAUGACAAAAGCAGCUUUCCUAGAAAUCUCUGCAGAGUUCAACCUGGAGCUUCAGCAGCAGGAGACUAAUAUGAGCUCCCCGAAGUGUGUUGCUAUCACCAGCUCAAAGCUCUCCACCACCUUUCAGUAGCUAACCAGUUUGAUGUUGGCAGAGCAAAUGCAGUGCCUAAUCAUGGAGGUUUGUGAGGUAGAUGCUGCAGUGCAGUGUCAUAAAGGUUGGCAAUGCAUAAGAGGUUACUGAUGGCUUAGCAUGGUUGAGGACCCCAAACUAUACAGGGCUAUUAAAUUGGACAUGUGCCUAUUUACGCCCCCUACUCCAGAAGAAAGACUUAAUCAACAGAAGAGUUAUUUCUCCAUGAUGCUGCAAGGCCUGGUUGAUCACGGCAGAGUGUCAGUGGAAUGUACUUUUAGAAGGCUGAAUGGGAGAAGGCUAGGUGUUUUUCAUCAUUAUGUGCUUCAUAUAGGACUAGACACACGUGUCCAAAGAGGAAAAUCUAAUCCAGCACUACUGCUGAGUACUGGAAAGUUAUAUCCUGUCAAGAUGAACUCAGAGCAGUGGAGGGAACACUGGAACUAGCUGAAGGACUGCCAGCAACACAGUAGUUAGGAAUUGGUACAUAGGAACUGGUACAAAUCUUAGACAAAUAAACUCACUGGAAGUUACUCUCUUCUAAGGAAGAUUACUUACUAUGUCCUAAAAUACCAGAUAAAUCACUGAAAAUAGGUUUAAUGUGGACAUAAGGCACUUUUAAGGAGCACUAACUACAGAAUAUACCAUCCCCGUGGAGACAAGGCUUUAGAAGGCAACACUGCAUUGAUUACUGUUGAGUUGUGUUUGGAAGGUCAACUUCAUGACCAUAAGGGCCAGAAAUUUAUUAAACUUACACUUUGCAGAAGUUGAUAGCUUUAUUGAGCAAAUGCUUUCAGCUUGCUUACGGUAAAAGGAUUUUUCUUAUUUG